GCACCUAGCUGCUCCAUACCACAGAAGGUAGCAUUUAAAGGAACUGGGGUAGAUCUGCCAAGAGAAGACUUAAGGGGUGCAAAGGGGGGCGCAAAAGGAAGGCAGACUGCCACGUGCAGCGCCUCAUUUGGAUGUGUCUGGAGUCUUGGAAGCUUGACUACCCUACGUUCUCCUACAAAUGGACCUUGGGAGCUUGUUCUAGCAGGGGAGCGCAGCUACUCGUAUACCCUUGACCGAAGAACGGUACGCCUCUAUCGGGGAAGGUCGUCCUCUUCGACCGAGCGCGCAGCUUCGGGAGGGACGCACAUGGAGCGGUGAGGGAGGAAGGGGACACCCGCCUAGCCAGCCAGAUCAGCCGAAUCAACCCUGGCGAUCAAUGGGGUGACAGAUGUCGCAGCCAGAUCGCCCUCACAUCCAGCAAGCACAGCGGGCGCGUUCACUAUAUAGAGCCGAAA
This is a non-coding RNA of Phascolarctos cinereus (koala), 455 nucleotides long. NCBI's taxonomy places the organism in Eukaryota, Metazoa, Chordata, Mammalia, Diprotodontia, Phascolarctidae. The record is from RefSeq and is a predicted model, not a curated record.